GCGCCCUAAAAAUUCCAGCCACCGCCGCCUCUGCGAUUCCCCAAUCCCCACUUCCCCAUCUCCUCCAUCCCCCAAAUCCUAAAUUCCAGUCGUCGCACCAGCCGCGGAACCCUAGCUCCGGUGCUACUGCCAGAUCAGGACACCUCCUCCGGCGGAAUCGGCGGCGGCUCCUUCCCGGCGCCACACCUCGGAGGCUUGCGCUGCUCGGCGCGCCCCCCGUCGCGUCCUUCCUCCGGCUACGCCUUCAGGAUUCGCGCCGCUCUGGUCCGAGGGCUUUGAACCGUCCUCUUACCUCUGUGCACAUGUCUUAUCCGUUCAUGUGCAAAGCAGGACGAUUACGCCAUCAACGAGUGCCGGACACGGACUCUUCCACCCUCCUUUGCCAGUGUUGUGUCAUGCUCGACCAUGCCAUCAACUUGUGCCAGACACGGACUCCCUCCUUUGCCACAUAAUAGGCAUCAAUCGCUCUAUGGAAGCAUCCAAUCUCGCUGCUCUACCAACUUCGCCGGAACACUGACCACCGGUGCUCCACCUCAGAGUUUGCGAAGAAAAAGGGGAAACCUAUAAUGAUGAGUGAUGACUAUGGUAUUAUAUCCAUCUAAUUACCAGAAUUAAAUAGGCGUGUAGUAUAGAGAGGGACAUAUCAAGUUUACUAUGAACUCAAACAGGACAGGUUUGACAAACAACACACUUCAGGCUCUUUAAUUGAUUAUUAUUUUAGGGAGCAAAGAUGCACACCUGCCUUUCUUGCGCUGUGCUGGGUGUAUAUAAUUUCAUUCUGAUCACCUUGUGGGUUGGUGUGCUAGAUUGCCGCCCUAACAUUUUGCCGAUUAUAUCUAAUCAGUAUACACUAUAUAUGUUUCUGUGUUAUGCUAAUGGAUUGGAAUGAACAUAAAUUAACCAAGUAUAUUUACAUGGCCUUAUACUAUGCUUUUCGGUUAGGUUGUUUUCAACUGGAGACAAAUCAGUGUUCUUGUCAUCCAUGGAAGAAGCGGUCAACCUUAUUACUAACUAACAUGUAAACAGUUGUGUUGCCUUCCUAGUCCUAUCAUGGAUUUUAAGCAUACUACUAACGACAUGUUGGCGAGUGUGGCAGGUUUUACCUAAUUCAAAACAUGGACAGUACUGAAAUUCUAGCCUUCACGUAGCCAGUAUACCCCAUCUAAAUUUCUGAAGUUUAUGGACAGUACAACUAAAUUUAGCAGCUGUUGCUAGUGAAACACAAUUGGGUAGAGCAAAUUAAUUGCUGUUGUACUGAAACAGUAGGUUCAAUUGGUUUUUGUGCAGCAGGAGGGCAGAAAUUAUAUUACCUCCGUACUAAAUACUUAUCUUAGAUUUGUCUAGAUACGGAUGAUGUGCUAUUCCUGGGUUAUUAUAAUUCUUGAUCAUGGGCUGGCUGCUGUUGCUUCUUCCAUCUCACCAAGGAAUCCAGGAACUCCAUUUCCUGCGUGGCAAUUUGGCCAGUGAAACGGCCAGAUCGGUGAGCAACUGACCGAGCAAAAUCGACAGGUGUGUACAUCUGUAUCUAGAAAAAUCUAAGACAAGUAAUUCGGGACGGAGGGAGUGUAUGGUACAUGCCAACCUGGUCAUUUUAUGUGAUUUAUUGGACGACAUUAUGUAUUUGGUUGUCAAAUAGUUCUGUAUCAGCAGACCCCUCUGUGGGUUCUGCAGGUGUAUUGCUAAUAGGUGUAUGGCUGGAUGAUUUUGAUAGAUGAUGUAUUUGUGGGGUCUGGUGCUCAUUAUAAUUGUGUGUUGGUAACAAGGAUAAAAGAGAAAUUCUCCUGAGUUGCGUUUAAUGUGUAUGACCCUACUCAGCAUGAGCUUAACAGUUAGUGUUUUUGUGCUACUUACCUUGCUUGCCAUAUGUUCAUAUGGCUUCUUUGUUAAAUGUACAAGGUAUACUUGCUGUGAUAUGUCUUAGCACUUCUAUAAGCUGACACAAGGUACCCCGAUCUAUGUUUUCAAGGCGUCGCCUAGGCGACGCUUAGGCGUCAGAGCGCUCGGGGACGUCAAGGCGUCGUCGUCGCCUUAGUUUUCUGUCUAAGGCGUCCGCCUUCUGCUGUUGAGGCGUCCAAGGCGUCGCCUAGGCGGAUAAGGCGCCGCUUUAGUUGAUUUUGGACGCCCUGGACAUGCGUGGGCAGGUUGAGCGGGAACCAGCAGCUGGCGCGCGCCAGAAAGAGGAAUUGGCGGGAGGGAAGAGAAAUUGGGCGGGAGAGAGGGGGGUAAACAGAGGCAGGAGAGAGAGGGGAACACACCCGUGACUCCAAAUCGAGGGGAAAAGAGAGAGGAGCUCUCUCCUCUCACGCCGCCGGCCCAGAUCCGCUACUCCUCCGCCGGCCUCCCCCUGUCCGGCCAAGCUCCUCCUCCACAGGCCCUUCCCCUCUCCGGCCAAGAUCCAUCUCCGCCGGUCCUCCCCCUCUCCAGCCAAGCUCCUCCGCCAUAUUAGUACCCCUACUGCCUAAUAAUAAGUGUCUAAGGCGUCGCCUCGCCUCGCGCUUUGAGCGCCUAGGCGUUGAGGCGCCCCCCCAGCGCCUUAAAGCGCCUGGGCGCCUUGAAAACAUAGACCCCGAUUGUAGUUAUAUUGAUUCAGUUUAACAACAAUGGUUGAUAUAGUGACAAAAUUCCAUUGUUGUAUAUAGCAUCAGGAUUUUAACAACUUAACACCUCUUUUCUCAACCAGAAUUUCAAAUCAUAGACGAUGGGUGUUGAACUGCUAGAAUAUUUAUGUCCUUGUUGCAAUGCAUAUGCAUACGUGCUAGUUUAUUCCAAAAGAGAAUCAUGCUUUUUUGAAGGAGACUAGCUUCUAUAGACUUGCAUAUGUUGUAACGUUUCCUUCUGCUACCUUGUCAAAGUGCAAAUUUUCAGUUUUUGUUUGUGCCAAUCCAUUUAUAAGCUGUUGUGCUACAGUUUCGAACGAACUACGAAAAAUGUUGUGGUAAUGAAUCCUUGUUAUUAUUUACUGAAUUUUAUGCCCUCCAUCGCGCAGUUCAAAGGUUGGCAGAUACUUACUAUUAUGCUUUGGUCUGUAUGUAGGUUGUUUUCUUAUUGCAGACCAUGCUUUAGAGACACACAAACCGCUACUGCUGCUUUUGCUUUGUGACAUUUUCAGAUCCACAGAUAGAUCUGCUGAUGGAUUUAAGUUUUCAUUCACCAACUUCAAAUACUCAAUUCCUCAGAGAUGAGGAUCUUUCUGCAGCUCAUGUGAGUUCACUCUAUAAGUAUGAUACAACCUGCAUGCAUAUUUGUUCGACACCUCAUCAUUAAUAUCUUCCUUCUGAAAUCGCAAACAUAGCUAUUUAUUUCAGUUACAAUUACUUCUAUAAGUUUUUGUCAAAGUUCAAAAGAUUUUUGUAUUUUUCCAUCAUGUAAUGCACGCCCUAGGGUGGAAUAGAGAUUGCCUUCUGGAGGAUGGUGAUAAGUUCCCUUGUAUUUACGUAUGAUAUUAUAGAGUACAGACAUGGGCCUAGACAUCUAGCCAAACCUACAUACGAUUUCUAAAAUGAUAUAAUUAUAACCGUAAACCUACAUCAGAAGAACCCACUACACGUGGACUAGUAGUGUAGUGAAGAGGAUGAGGAGGAAUCAUCGGAAAGCCUUAAGGGACAAGUGAGGUGAGGUAGCCCUAGGUAACAACCAAGGUGGUGUAGCGGGAAGACAGAGUGGGAUGGGUGGAAGAGGGCAAUACAUGAGUGAUAGGUGUAUCGAGGAAAUUGAGUAAAGAAAUAUCGUUAAUGUGGGAGGCCAAAGGAGGCGAUGGACCUGGAUAGAAAGGACGAGACUCAUGAAAAGUCACAUACCGAGAAAUGCGUAUCUGACUACCGAUAGGAUCCCAACACUAAUAGCCCUUGUGCUCAUCAUCACUAGACUCUAAGAAGACCCAUUCAGCAGGCUGAGCAGUCAGAUUGGGGUGUUCACAAAGGUAAGAAGAACGCUGCAAACGCAAUAGAACAAAAGAAGCGUCACAUGAUCGACCAAAAAGACGCUCGAGAGGAAUCUCACCCUGCGAGAGCAUCAAUCUUCGAUGCCAUCACACAAUGCCAUUUAGGAUGAAUAACAACGUCGGAAUAAGAAGUCGUCUCGGGUAAGAGCGACGCAAUAACAAUAUCGGUCAGUACGCAGAACCGGGUGAGCUUGGAAGCCAUAAGUAGUCGGAGCUAGAGGUAGUGCGUUGCCAAUAGAAGAAGACAUAGUAGCCGAGGAAGAUGGCUCAUGAGAAGAAUCCACAACACGCGGGCGAUCAGUUUAGCUAAUGACGGGGAGGGAAGUACCAUCCGUAGUAAGAACAUGAGCAACAAAAUCUAGAGGUGGAAUGGAGGGCGAAUUAGAAUUAUCUUAAGUUGUAUGAAAAGGCGCCUGAGUACCAAGGAUCCAUGGAGGUGUACCUGAUAUUGUAAAAAGAUAUUGUAAAAAGGUGGUCUCUCCGCACCACUAGAGGAAGUAGGAAAACUUGCAAAGCCUAUCGAUUGAAGAACCAAAAUAAGCAGCUAGCAAACACCUACGUCAUGUAAUCAAUCUCCAGCGUAGCCAUGGGCUCAACUGAAGAUGUCGAUGAAGAAGCAUCAUGUGAUGAAGAACCAAAAACGGUCUUUUAGAGGUGAUUGGGGAUCGUUACCUGUUUUUUCAUUUCUUAUUUUUAUACGUUUCUCUAUAUCUUUGUUUUGUUUUUCUUUUGGCUUCUUCCUGUUCGUUUUUUUCAUUCCUUAAAUCUUUUGAACAUUUCUCAAAUUUGUGAACAAAUUUCAAUUCGUGAACGUCCAUUAAAUCCGCAAACAUUUUCGAAAUUGCUAAAAAGGUGAUUUCCCAAACGUUCUUCAAAUUCAUGAAUAUAUUUUUAAUUUUUUUAACCUUUUCCUAUUCGUAAAUAUUUUUGAAUAUGUGAACAUUUUUCGUAUACAUGAACAGUUUUGGCAUUUGCCAAUCGAUUCUAGAAUCCGUGGACAUUUUUCGAAUUAGUCGCCAACAUUUUUCAAAUUCCUGGACAUUUUGAAUUUGUGAACAUCUUUGUGAAAACGUGUUUACAUUUUUUGAAUUAGUGAGCAUUUUCUUAGAACCUGCAAACGUUUUAUGAACUUGACGCAAACAUUUUAUGAAUUCAUGAACUUUUUUUGAAUAGAUGGAACAUUUUUCGAAUACGUGAACAUUUUUUAAAAUCCCUAAAUAUUUUUGAAUUCACGAACUUGUUUUGAAUACGUGAACAUUUUUUAAAUAGGAGAACAUUUUUGGUAUCCCCAAAUUUUUUUUGAAUCAGUGCACAUAUUUUGAUUUCGCCAUGAACAUUUUUUGAAUUCGUCAAUAUUUUUUGGAUUCACAAACUUAUAUUGAAUCUGUGAAUAUUUUUUGAUUUCGCAAAGACCUCUUUCAAAUUUGCCUUUCAUGUUAGUAGAUUCUGAAAAUAUGUUGUGAUGUAUAAAGAAUGACGUUCAACGUUAUGUUUAGUGUUUGGGUCAAAAUAGUAUUUGAAAGCAGGGGUUAAAAGUUUGCCAAAGAAGGAGACUAUAUCUCACCCGGUUUUGUUCAAAAGGGUAUCCCACUUUGUAGAAGAAUGCACCAACCAUUUUGGCAGUGGGUUGAACUCAUCUCAACAAUUUUGAUUAGGCCUCGUUCCCCUAAUACCUUAGUCAUCAUCUCCUUUCCUGUAUUUUUGUUAGUCUCACUCACAAACACAUUGAUCCGCGAGUGGGAAUGCCAGCAGCCAUGGCGACAUUGUCCGCUACAUGAGAAAAUGAAGGCUUUAGCGACAUUGUGUGAGAGGCAUGAAGGCUCUAGCGACAUCGUGUGAGAGGCAUCGGCGCUAGCGAGUUUGCCACCAUCCUAGCCACAAUGACAAUGCCGCAAAUUAUAUAGUGGAGGGUAGAGGUGCACUUGAACAGGGGCAAUGUACACUAUUUCUUCUUUCGGGUGAGUGGAAGCUAGGUAGAUAAGUCUCCCGACAAGAUGAAGGUAACACGUUGGAUCAGACAAAGUGUCACCAUCGGUAGGACGGAGGUGAACAUUGAGCUCCAUAGUAGUGGCAACAGUGCGCUCAUCAGUAAGAGCGACACGAGCAAGAAGAUGUUGGAUCACUUUUCUUGAGCAAGAAGAGACUAUAAUCCUAAGAAAGUAGCCAAGAGGGCCAAGUUCAGACAAAAGAAACUGCUAACUAAGACGUGCCUCCACAAAACCAGCGACAACCACCACAGAGGCAAAGCACUCAAACCAGGUGCUAGGGCUUGCUUAGAAUUCCAUAGAGAGCGAGGAAGAAGACGUAGCAUGUCGUCAAGAACAGAAUACCGAAGUGGUGGUUGCAUGUAAACCUCACGUAGCUCCCUAUUAACAAAGGCAUUCUUAGCAUCAAGCCGGGCCACAACAAAAAGUGUGUGAAUAGUGGUCAUAUGGUUCACAGAAGCAAAAAAGUCUUAUCGGAAUCGAGACCGUGCUCCUGUUGAAAGCCAUGAGACACUAGAUGAGCUUUGUAAUGCUCAAUAGAACCAUCUGAGCGAGUCUUUAACCUUGUAGACCCUUUAUAAGUGAUGGGAUGAAGACGAGGAGGAAGAGAAACAAGAUCCCACAUGUUGGUGCGCUCAAGUACAUCAACCUCCUCUGCCAUUGCAACGUACCGGGAUGAACACCAUCAUGAUAAGAAGCCGACUCAAGAACAGUAGCGCUAGCGCUUGUAAGACCAUGGCGGUCAACAUGUGGAAGGCGAACGGGCACACAAGCCAUAAGUAGGCUGAGAUGGGGAAGAUGGCAUAUCAGUAGACACAUCUAUAACACAUGAAUGACAUGUAUAAAGUGUUGUAAAGAUGAAAGAAUGCGAGCAGGAAUCAUCUGGGCAAUCUCGGGUGAUUGUGACAAGGAAGUCACUGGUGAUGAAGGUGUUGAAUUAUGUGACAAGCGACGUGUGGAAAUCAUAAGAGAUGAUGUUGGAUUUGUAAGAAUUAAAGAAGCAUGAGCAGUAUGAUGAAUGGAUAAGGGCUCAGCAGGAGUGUCAGGAAAAGUCAUGAAAGAUAUAUCCUCCAUUGAAAAGGUUAAGGAAGAUGGACGCGAGUAGAAUGGACUAGACUCAUCAAGUCACAUCUCGAGAAAUAGGCAUCGGACGAUGAACAUGAUCACAACAGAGAGAUCCCUUAUGCUCAUCGUUGUAUCCUAUGACGACACACUCAACACGCCGAGCAGUCAGUUUGGUGCCUUCACAAGGGGCAAGGACAUAGCAAACAAAACCAAAUAAUUGAAGCGCCGAUAAUCAAGAAAUGAUCACACUUGAAAGGAACGCUACCCUAUGGAGCUCUGGAUGGCUGAAGGUUGAUGAGCUAGAUGGAGUGGUGACAGACUUGGCUCGAAAGUGCGGCGGAAGAGAGGCCAUCAACGCACGAGCUGUCUCAAGAAGGUAAGGAUGCUCGUGACACCAUUUUGAGCAUGAGCACCAGGAAAAGAGAUCUGAGCCAGGACUCCAUGCAAGAGCUUGGAGAUAUACUCUCCAACAGAGUCAUCACAUAACACAGUAGGUGUUGAGAACUAAAUGUGAACCAUGCCAGCAAAACGCUUAUGUAUAGAUAAGACCUCACUACGAGAAGAAUAAAGUAUAUCCAGGUGUGUGGAGAGAAAUCAUCUAUAAAGAUAAUAUACUAGCGAUGACCUCGAGGCGAUGAUGCCAUUGCUGAAAAUAACUGGUAAACAAGGCAACAAUGGCGAAGAGAUUGGCGGUAGUGGCAGCAGAUGGAUUUGGUCUAGCAUCCCACGUGCGUGUGCACUCUUCGUUCCUCGUUGAUCCGGCUUGGUGUUCUUGUCCUGUUUGCGGGUUUUGUGUCACGCACUUGAUUAAGCAUCCCACGUUCUCCUAAUGUGCGCCCUUGGCCUUGACGAUAGGUAGCGCCGUGUUCUCGGGCAUGUCCCGUGGGUAAAAUCCAGGUAUGCACCAAUUGUCCGAGCUCCUGCUCACCAUUGGUGGUGCUCAAGCGUGCGAUUAUGGUGUCGCCCAGCAAGGGAACACGGGAUGUGGGAUCGAGACAACACACAUAGCAACCUGCCACCAGGCAAAGGAUGCCCAUCCGGACUUUUACAGGGAGCGGAGGUGGACGCAAAGGUGGAUGUUGAGCACCAUAGGAGUCUAAACAGUGCGCUCAUCAGUAAGAGCAUCACGAGUAAGAAGAUCAUGGAUAUACUUCCCUUAGGAAAUAAAAAAGUCAGAGGUAGAAGAAACCUCAAUCUCAAGGAAGUAGUGACAAAGACCAAGAUCAGACAUAAGAAACUCACAAUGACGAGCCUUCACAAAGGCAAUGUACUUGAGAGUCGUCGCCGGUGAUGAUUGACAUAUAGAAGUAGUGUUCAACCACGAGUUGAAUGGUGAAGCGGCAUAGUAGUAGGGGAAGACAUGGUGGGAUGGGUGGACGAGGGUAAUACUUGAAUGAUAGAUGUAUUGAGGAAAUUGAGGAAAGA
Long non-coding RNA from Triticum aestivum (bread wheat), 8415 nucleotides. RefSeq lists it as uncharacterized. Lineage: Eukaryota; Viridiplantae; Streptophyta; Magnoliopsida; Poales; Poaceae. The transcript has 4 exons. The record is from RefSeq and is a predicted model, not a curated record.